RNAcentral lists this ribosomal RNA (447 nucleotides) under uncultured bacterium. RNAcentral's name for it is "bacterial SSU rRNA". It matches the Rfam family "Bacterial small subunit ribosomal RNA", at positions 355 to 825 of the family's 1533-position model. The record is from RNAcentral.
UCGGGAAUUUUGGGCAAUGGGCGAAAGCCUGACCCAGCAACGCCGCGUGAAGGAUGAAGUAUUUCGGUAUGUAAACUUCGAAAGAAUAGGAAGAAUAAAUGACGGUACUAUUUAUAAGGUCCGGCUAACUACGUGCCAGCAGCCGCGGUAAUACGUAGGGACCAAGCGUUGUUCGGAAUUACUGGGCGUAAAGCGCGUGUAGGCGGCUCUUCAAGUCAGACGUGAAAGCCCCAGGCUCAACCUGGGAACUGCGUUUGAUACUGUCGAGCUAGAGUGUGGAAGGGGCAAUCGGAAUUCUUGGUGUAGCGGUGAAAUGCGUAGAUAUCAAGAGGAACACCUGAGGUGAAGACGGGUUGCUGGGCUGACACUGACGCUGAGGCGCGAAAGCCAGGGGAGCAAACGGGAUUAGAUACCCAUGUAGUCCCUGAGCGGGCUGGCAAGGCGCAU